RNAcentral lists this ribosomal RNA (3050 nucleotides) under marine metagenome. RNAcentral's name for it is "eukaryotic LSU rRNA". It matches the Rfam family "Eukaryotic large subunit ribosomal RNA". The record is from RNAcentral.
UAAUUGCCUGAAUAAACUUGAAAUACCCGCUUAAUUUAAGCAUAUUAAUCAGCGAAGGAAAAGAAAAUAAUAAUAAUUUCCCCAGUAACGGCGAGUGAAAAGGAACCAGCUUUCCUCCCAAGGUGGCGUUUGCAAGAAUGCCGACCAAUUUGGAGUAUAUAGCUAGGCGGGCCGUAGCGCUAAACUCUUAGGGGUAAGGGUAAAUCAGAGAAGGAGAUUUGCCGGGUAAGCCCUGCAGCCCGUCUAGCGCCAAACGCAAGUAAGAAUAUUUGAAAGUAUAUUCUGAAGCUUGGGGUAAAUCCCCCACAAAGCUAAAUAAUGGCUAUAAUACCGAUAGCAAACAAGUACCGUGAGGGAAAUUUGAAAAGAACUUUGAAGAGAGAGUUAAAAGUGCGUGAAACUUUUAGCUAGUAAACGGUUGCUAGUAAUUCUGAAAGCACGGGCAAGACGUCUGGACCCUUAAAAGUUUAGAAAUCUCCAGCCCAGUAAUCACGCGGCGGCAGUUAGGCGCGUGAAGUAAGAAAUGAAAGUAACCGACCCGUCUUGAAACACGGACCAAGGAGUCUUGCAAAUGAAUGCUUUGCAACAUGGAAUGCAAGAAAGCGAGUGAAGGCGAAAAGUUGUAACCCGUAGGGGGUUAAAAUUGUUACUUCAUAAUAAUUGUAAAUUAUUUGGGGUAAACAAUGGUUAUUUGCAAGGACCCGAAAGAUGGUGAACUAUGCCUGUUCAGAAGGAAUCCAGGUGAAAGCCUGGUGAAAGUUCUUAGCGGUUCUGACGUGCAAAUCGAUCGUCAGAAAUGGGCAUAGGGGCGAAAGACUAAUCGAACCAUCUAGUAGCUGGUUCCACUUGAAGUUUCCCUUAGGAUAGCUGAUCAUAAUAUAUAGGAGUUUAAUCCGGUAAAGCGAAUGAUUAGACGUCUUAGAGACAUAAUGUUUUUAACUUAUUCUCAAACUUUAAAUGGGUUAGAUGUCAAUGUUGCUAACUUGAACAUUGCGCGCAAGAAUCAUUUGAUCAAGUGGGCCAUUUUUGGUAAGCAGAACUGGCGCUGUGGGAUGAACCAAAAGCUAGUUUAAAGUAUCAAAGUAAUAGCAAAUCAGAUCCCACGAAAGGUGUUAAUUGCUCACGACAGCAGGACGGUGGCCAUGGAAGUCGGAAUCCGCUAAGGAAUGUGUAACAACCCACCUGCCGAAGCAAUUAGCCCUGAAAAUGGAUGACGCUUUAGCUAUUCCAGAACUUAAAACUAGCUUCUAGGCUAAAUUAUCUAGCCCUAGAAAGUAAAGUGGUGAUUUGACCGCAGCCAAAGAAAGAUGAGAAUCUUUCACAAGCGGUCAAGUGUACAGAUCUUGGUGGCAGUAGCAAAUAUUCCAAUGGGGUCUUGGAAGGCCGAAGUGGAGAAGGUUUUCGUGUGAACAGUUUUUGACCACGAGUGAGGCGGUCCUAAAUAAAAAAGGAAACUUGUACAAAUUUAUGAAAGGGAAAUAGGUUUAAAUUCCUAUUCCAUAAGCGCUAGAAUUUACUCUGUAAACCUGGUAACAGGGAUUUUCAUUCGGACACAAAGCUAAACUUUAAAGAGAAUUUUCUCUUCUGAUUAAGCUGUGUAAUCCUUUAAAUAGCAUUGAGCUGAGACAAGGAUCAGCAACAGCGCAGAGCAACACAGAUCUUGCGUUGUUUAAAGCUUUAGCCUUGUCCUUGAAAACGAAUGAAAAAUGUAUAUCUAGCCUAUGGCCGUACCCAUAUCCGCAGCAGGUCUCCAAGGUGAAAAACCUCUGGCUAAUAGAAUAAUGUAGGUAAGGGAAGUCGGCAAAUAAGCUCUGUAACUUUGGGAGAAGGAAUGGCUCUGAAAGUUGAGGUAUUUGGGCUUAAUAAUGGAAGCCACUAUAGCAAAAGUUUGUUGAAAGCAUUCGCCUGAAAUGAACCAAGCUCUGGUUGUGAAAAUUAUUUAGCUUUAUGGUUGGAUCAUGUCCAGCCAUUCAAAUCACCGCUUAUCAACUCAUUCAGAACUGGCACAGAUUAGGGGAACCCGACUGUUUAAUUAAAACAAAGCAUUGAGAAAGUCUGAAAAGAUAUUGACUCAAUGUGAUUUCUGCCCAGUGCUCAGAAUGUCAAUUUGAAGAGGUUCAAAUAAGCGCGGGUAAACGGCGGGAGUAACUAUGACUCUCUUAAGGUAGCCAAAUGCCUCGUCAGAUAACUACUGACGCGCAUGAAGGGAUUAACGAGGUUCCUACUGUCCCUAUCUACUAUCUAGCGAAACCGCAGUCAAGGGAACGGACUUGAAAAUAACAGCGGGGAAAGAAGACCCUGUUGAGCUUGACUCUAAUCUCGUAUUGUAGAGAAACAUGUUUGGUGUAGUUUAGGGAGGAGCUUUGGCGCCAAUGAAAAACUCCCACAAAUAUCGUUUCUCUUCUAACUAGAUCAAACGCAUAAUAAAUAGCUUUAAUCGGCUAAUUAGUGUUGUAACAACUGUGCCGCUCAUUGCAGCGGCGCAGAAAGCAAUCAAGGAAAUUGCGAGAUUGGGAGUUUGACUGGGGCGGUACAUCUGUCAAAUAAUAACGCAGGUGUCCUAAGAUCAGCUCCGCGAGGACAGAAACCUCGCUUAGAGUAAAAAGGCAAAAGCUGGUUUGAAAUUGCUUUUCAGUACAAAGCAAUAGGCAGAAAUGUAGGCUUAUCGAUCCUCUUUAAUUUAGGGUUUAAAGAAAGAGGUGACAGAAAAGUUACCACAGGGAUAACUGGCUUGUGGCUGCCAAGCGUUCAUAGCGACGUAGCUUUUUGAUCCUUCGAUGUCGGCUCUUCCUAUCAUUCAGAAGCAAAAUUCUGAUAGUGUCGGAUUGUUCACCCGCCAAUAGGGAACGUGAGCUGGGUUUAGACCGUCGUGAGACAGGUUAGUUUUACCCUACUGUAAACUAAACUAGCAAAGUAAUUUUGUUCAGUACGAGAGGAACCAUAAACUUAGACAAUUGAAACGUGGGCUUAUUUGAGAUAGUAAUGGCCCGAAAUUAUCAUCUGCUGGGUUAAUAGCUGAACGCCUCUAAGCUAGAAACAAACCUUUAAUA